UAUGACAAGGCAGUACUGAGUUCAAUGUAAAGUUACCCAGUCACUCUGCUUUCCCUCUCUCCCAAGAGUACGAAAUUUCCGAAAUGGUAGGCUACUGUGCUGCGAGGAGUGAGGGGUUGCUACCAUCAUUUCAUACCAUCUCUCCAACCCUCUUCAAUGCCUCAUCCAAUGAUAUGAAGUUAAAACCAGAGCUAUUUCUGACACAGCAAUUUUUGAGCGGGCAUUUGCCAAAAUACGAACAAGUUCACAUCCUCCCAGUAGGAAGAAUAGAGGAACGCUUCUGGCAAAAUUUCAAGCAUCUACAAGAGGAGGUUUUCCAGAAAAUAAAGACACUGGCUCAGCUCUCAAAGGAUGUUCAGAAUGUCGUGUUCUAUAGUAUCCUGGCCAUGCUCAGAGACAGAGGGGCUCUACAGGACCUGAUGAACAUGCUGGAAUUGGACAGCUCAGGUCAUUUGGAUGGCCCUGGUGGUGCCAUCCUAAAGAAACUUCAACAGGAUUCAAACCAUGCAUGGUUUAACCCAAAGGACCCCAUUCUUUAUCUCCUUGAAGCCAUAAUGGUGCUGAGUGACUUCCAACACGAUUUGCUGGCCUGUUCCGUGGAGAAGAGGAUCCUGCUUCAGCAACAGGAGCUGGUAAGGAGCAUCCUGGAGCCAAACUUCAGAUACCCCUGGAGCAUUCCCUUCACCCUCAAACCUGAGCUCCUCGCCCCACUCCAGAGUGAGGGUUUGGCCAUCACCUAUGGCCUGCUGGAGGAGUGUGGCCUUAGGAUGGAGCUGGAUAACCCCAGGUCAACCUGGGAUGUAGAAGCAAAGAUGCCCCUGUCUGCCCUCUAUGGGACUCUCUCGUUGCUGCAGCAGCUGGCUGAGGCCUAAGCCCUCCCUGAUGGGCAGUCAGUCCAGAGAUGCUGGCCCUCUCCCAGUCUAUGCUGUGAGUGUCCUUAUGGGUGCAAGAGAUAGGGCUGCGCCUUUCUGCGUUUCCAGGUGGAGUAGAGGCAGUAAUGGGUAGAGAUUUCAGGAAAUGUUUUGGGGUGGUGGAAUACUCUAUAUAUUGACAAGAGUAUAUAUUGACGAGAGUUUAUAUAUUUGUCAAAACUCUUCAAAUAGUAUGUUAAAGAUGUAAGCGUUUCACUAUGUAUAAAUUUUACUUCAAAAUAAUAAAAACAAAUACUCACUCUA
RNAcentral lists this small RNA (1175 nucleotides) under Pan troglodytes (chimpanzee). RNAcentral's name for it is "retained intron". The record is from RNAcentral. Lineage: Eukaryota; Metazoa; Chordata; Mammalia; Primates; Hominidae.